UUGGGUUGUAAACCCCUUUUCUCAGGGAAGAAGAAAGUGACGGUACCUGAGGAAUCAGCCUCGGCUAACUCCGUGCCAGCAGCCGCGGUAAUACGGAGGAGGCAAGCGUUAUCCGGAAUGAUUGGGCGUAAAGCGUUCGUAGGUGGCCAUUCAAGUCUGCUGUCAAAGACAGUAGCUCAACUACUGCAAGGCAGUGGAAACUGAAUAGCUAGAGUGCGGUAGGGGCAGAGGGAAUUCCCGGUGUAGCGGUGAAAUGCGUAGAGAUCGGGAAGAACACCGGUGGCGAAAGCGCUCUGCUGGGCCGCAACUGACACUGAGGGACGAAAGCUAGGGGAGCGAAUGGGAUUAGAUACCCCAGUAGUCCUAGCUGUAAACGAUGGAAACUAGGUGUUGCCUGUAUCGACCCAGGCAGUGCCGUAGCUAACGCGUUAAGUUUCCCGCCUGGGGAGUACGCACGCAAGUGUGAAACUCAAAGGAAUUGACGGGGGCCCGCACAAGCGGUGGAGUAUGUGGUUUAAUUCGAUGCAACGCGAAGAACCUUACCAGGGCUUGACAUGUCCGGAAUUCUGGGGAAACUCGGAAGUGCCUUCGGGAACCGGAACACAGGUGGUGCAUGGCUGUCGUCAGCUCGUGUCGUGAGAUGUUGGGUUAAGUCCCGCAACGAGCGCAACCCUCGUUUUUAGUUGCCAUCAUUAAGUUGGGCACUCUAGAGAGACUGCCGGUGACAAACCGGAGGAAGGUGGGGAUGACGUCAAGUCAUCAUGCCCCCUACGUCCUGGGCUACACACGUACUACAAUGGUAAGGACAGAGGGCAGCCACUUCGCGAGGAGGAGCUAAUCCCGUAAACCUUGCCUCAGUUCAGAUUGCAGGCUGCAACUCGCCUGCAUGAAGGAGGAAUCGCUAGUAAUCGCAGGUCAGCAUAUUGCGGUGAAUCCGUUCCCGGGCCUUGUACACACCGCCCGUCACACCCCGGAAGUCAGCCAUCCCCCAAGUCAUUACUC
RNAcentral lists this ribosomal RNA (1002 nucleotides) under Capilliphycus guerandensis BLCC-M76. RNAcentral describes it as "bacterial SSU rRNA". It matches the Rfam family "Bacterial small subunit ribosomal RNA", at positions 418 to 1435 of the family's 1533-position model. The record is from RNAcentral. RNAcentral also lists the same sequence under 1 other name. Lineage: Bacteria; Bacillati; Cyanobacteriota; Cyanophyceae; Oscillatoriales; Sirenicapillariaceae.